This is a regulatory RNA element of Peptostreptococcus stomatis DSM 17678, 169 nucleotides long. It matches the Rfam family "Lysine riboswitch aptamer". From Rfam's summary of the family: Riboswitches are metabolite binding domains within certain messenger RNAs that serve as precision sensors for their corresponding targets. Allosteric rearrangement of mRNA structure is mediated by ligand binding, and this results in modulation of gene expression. Lineage: Bacteria; Bacillati; Bacillota; Clostridia; Peptostreptococcales; Peptostreptococcaceae. The record is from Rfam.
AUAGAAGAUAGAGGCGCACUUGUUAUUAGUACUUGAGAAAAGGGGUAAAGCACCCACAAGGAAAGGAACAAUUGCCGAAGCAUACAAACAGCUUUAGGUUUGUAUUGCUGGGGGUACGUAGAAUAUGCGUAUCACUGUCACAAGUAUCUUGUGUUGGGCUAUCAUUUGA